ACGACCAUACCCACUGGAAAACUCGGGAUCCCGUCCGCUCUCCCAUAGAUAAGCCAGUGAGGGCCAGAUUAGUAGUUGGGUCGGUGACGACCAGCGAAUCCCUGGUGUUGUAUGUU
This 116-nucleotide ribosomal RNA is filed under the name Neurospora crassa OR74A. The record is from RNAcentral. Lineage: Eukaryota; Fungi; Ascomycota; Sordariomycetes; Sordariales; Sordariaceae.